Molecule: ribosomal RNA, 1650 nt
Filed under: Triticum aestivum (bread wheat)
Lineage: Eukaryota; Viridiplantae; Streptophyta; Magnoliopsida; Poales; Poaceae
Description: partial small subunit ribosomal RNA
Source: RNAcentral
AUGGCCGACGACAACGGCGGCGGCGGCGACGACUACGUCAGCGAGGCCGUCCGCCCCGAGGGUGAUACACAUACGCGUGAAGAGGGAUUGUCAAAAUCCAGGGAUAGAGACAGAGAAAAAGACAAGGAUAAGGAGCGCCAUAGGGACCGUGACAGAGAUAGAGGAAGAGACAGAGAUCGGGGUCGGGACAGGGAUCUAGACAAGGAUCGGGACAGGGACAAGGAUCGGGAUCGUCACCAAAGGCAUCACCGUGACAAAAGGGAGCACCGAGACCGUCCUGAUGAUCAUGAUCGUCACAGAAGCCGUGAUUCUGAAAGGAGAAGGGACCGCGAGAGAGAUGGAUAUCGCAGGCAUCGCUCUCGUUCACGGUCUCGUUCAAGGGGCAGGGAUGAUCACAGAUCUCGAUCUCAUUCAAAAAGCAGCAAGCGAGUCAGUGGAUUCGACCUGGGACCAACAGCACAAUCCGUACUUCCUCAGUUCCCUGCCAUUCCAACCCCAAGUCAGUUACCGGGCUCUUCUAUUCCUGGAAUGUUCCCGAACAUGCUCCCUUUUGCUGUUGGACAGUUCAAUCCCCUCGUCAUGCAGCCACAAGCCAUGACUCAACAGCAUAUUUUUCCUCAGGCUACUCGGCAUGCUCGGCGUGUUUAUGUCGGUGGCCUUCCCCCAUCUGCUAAUGAACAGUCUGUUGCAAUAUACUUUAAUCAAGUCAUGGCUGCUAUUGGAGGAAACACUGCUGGUCCAGGUGAUGCUGUUCUUAAUGUGUACAUAAACCAUGACAAGAAAUUCGCUUUUGUGGAGAUGAGGUCUGUGGAGGAAGCAAGCAAUGCAAUGGCACUGGAUGGCAUUUUGUUUGAAGGUGCACCAGUGAAGGUUAGAAGACCAACAGACUAUAACCCUUCUCUGGCAGCUGCCCUGGGCCCAAGCCAGCCAAGCUCCAAUUUGAAUCUUGCUGCGGUUGGCCUAACACCAGGUUCAGCCGGAGGGUUAGAAGGCCCGGACCGUAUUUUUGUGGGUGGUCUCCCCUAUUACUUCACAGAGGCUCAAGUUCGGGAGCUGCUUGAAUCAUUUGGGCCUCUUCGAGGAUUUGAUCUUGUGAAAGAUAGGGAAACUGGUAACUCAAAGGGCUAUGCGUUCUGUGUCUACCAGGACCUCAAUGUCACUGACAUAGCCUGCGCUGCUCUAAAUGGUAUCAAGAUGGGAGACAAAACUCUUACGGUCAGACGAGCAAACCAGGGCUCAGCCCAACCUAGACCAGAGCAGGAAAAUAUCCUGUUGCAGGCACAGCAACAGGUGCAGUUACAGAAACUUGUGUAUCAAGUUGGAGCGCUCCCUACAAAGGUUGUAUGCCUGACCCAGGUAGUUACUGCUGAUGAAUUAAAAGAUGAUGAAGAAUAUGAGGACAUUAUGGAGGACAUGAGGUUGGAAGCUGGGAAAUAUGGUAACUUGGUGAAAGUUGUCAUCCCACGUCCUCAUCCGAGUGGAGAGCCAGUUUCUGGAGUUGGAAAGGUGUUCUUAGAGUAUGCAGAUGUUGAUGGUUCCACCAAAGCAAAGACGGCGAUGCACGGAAGGAAAUUCGGUGGAAACCCAGUUGUUGCGGUCUUCUACCCCGAGAACAAGUUUGCUGAUGAGGACUAUGACGCGGCAGCAUAA